Molecule: ribosomal RNA, 301 nt
Filed under: uncultured bacterium
Lineage: Bacteria
Description: partial 16S ribosomal RNA
Rfam family: Bacterial small subunit ribosomal RNA
Source: RNAcentral
CAGCAGCCGCGGGAAUACGUAGGGUGCGAGCGUUAAUCGGAAUCACUGGGCGUAAAGCGGGCGCAGACGGUUACUUAAGCAGGAUGUGAAAUCCCCGGGCUCAACCUGGGAACUGCGUUCUGAACUGGGUGACUAGAGUGUGUCAGAGGGAGGUAGAAUUCCACGUGUAGCAGUGAAAUGCGUAGAGAUGUGGAGGAAUACCGAUGGCGAAGGCAGCCUCCUGGGAUAACACUGACGUUCAUGCCCGAAAGCGUGGGUAGCAAACAGGAUUAGAUACCCGAGUAGUCCCUGUCUCUUAUAA